Trichobilharzia regenti is the source of this 45-nucleotide non-coding RNA. NCBI's taxonomy places the organism in Eukaryota, Metazoa, Platyhelminthes, Trematoda, Strigeidida, Schistosomatidae. The record is from Rfam.
AUCCAGCUGACGAAUCGCAAAUAGAACGAAAUGCCUAUCGUGGAU